ACACCCGAAGUCGGUGAGGCAACCUUUUAGGAGCCAGCCGCCGAAGGUGGGGCAGAUGAUUGGGGUGAAGUCGUAACAAGGUAUCCCUACCGGAAGGUGGGGAUGGAUCACCUCCUUU
This 118-nucleotide ribosomal RNA is filed under the name Thermoactinomyces sp. CICC 23799. RNAcentral's name for it is "partial 16S ribosomal RNA". It matches the Rfam family "Bacterial small subunit ribosomal RNA", at positions 1417 to 1533 of the family's 1533-position model. Lineage: Bacteria; Bacillati; Bacillota; Bacilli; Caryophanales; Thermoactinomycetaceae. The record is from RNAcentral.